AGCGGCGUACGGGUGCGGAACACGUGUGCAACCUGCCUUUAUCUGGGGGAUAGCCUUUCGAAAGGAAGAUUAAUACUCCAUAAUAUAUUGAUUGGCAUCAAUUAAUAUUGAAAGCUCCGGCGGGAAUGGAUGGGCAUGCGUGCCAUUAGCUGGCUGGUAAGGUAACGGCUUACCAAGGCUACGAUGGCUAGGGGGUCUGGGAGGAUGAUCCCCCACACUGGUACUGAGACACGGACCAGACUCCUACGGGAGGCAGCAGUGAGGAAUAUUGGUCAAUGGGCGGAAGCCUGAACCAGCCAUGCCGCGUGCAGGACGACGGCCCUACGGGUUGUAAACUGCUUUUCCGGGGGAAGAAUAACCCCCCUGCGGGGGGGGAUGCCGGUACCCCGGGAAUAAGGAUCGGCUAACUCCGUGCCAGCAGCCGCGGUAAUACGGAGGAUCCUAGCGUUAUCCGGAUUUACUGGGUUUAAAGGGUGCGUAGGCGGGCGUUUAAGUCCGCGGUGAAAGUCUGCGGCUCAACCGUAGGAUUGCCGUGGAUACUGGACGUCUUGGAUUCGGUCGGGGCGGGCGGAAUGCGUGGUGUAGCGGUGAAAUGCAUAGAUAUCACGCAGAACGCCGAUAGCGAAGGCAGCUCGCCGGGCCGAAAUCGACGCUGAGGCACGAAAGCGUGGGGAUCAAACAGGAUUAGAUACCCUGGUAGUCCACGCC
Molecule: ribosomal RNA, 708 nt
Filed under: uncultured bacterium
Lineage: Bacteria
Description: bacterial SSU rRNA
Rfam family: Bacterial small subunit ribosomal RNA
Source: RNAcentral